GCUUUCAUAGCUCAGUUGGUUAGAGCACCCGUUUAGUAAGCGGGAGGUCUUGAGUUUAAAUCUCAAUGAAAGCA
Molecule: transfer RNA, 74 nt
Filed under: Nelumbo nucifera (sacred lotus)
Lineage: Eukaryota; Viridiplantae; Streptophyta; Magnoliopsida; Proteales; Nelumbonaceae
Rfam family: tRNA
About the family: Transfer RNA (tRNA) molecules are approximately 80 nucleotides in length.
Source: Rfam by way of RNAcentral